UGAUGGUCUUUGGCCGUCCGAGUUGUAAUUUAGAGAAGCGUCUUCCGCGCUGGACCGUGCACAAGUCUCCUGGAAUGGAGCGUCAUANAGGGUGAGAAUCCCGUCUUUGGCNCGGACACCCCAGGGCUUUUGUGAUGCGCUCUCAAACAAUCAAGUUGUUUGGGAAUGCAGCUCAGAAUGGGUGGCGAACUCCAUCUAAAGCUAACUAUUGGAGAGAGACCGAUAGCGAACAAGUACCGUGAGGGAAAAAUGAAAAGCACUUUGGAAAGAGAGUGAAACAGUACGUGAAAUUGUUGAAAGGGAAACGCUUGAAGUCUGUCGCGUCAACCGAGACUCGGCCUUGCCUUGGCUUGGUGUACUUCUCGGCUGACGGGUCAGCAUCAGUUUUGCCCCUUGGAUAAUGGCGAGGGAAAUGCGACACCUUUGCGGUGUGUUAUAGUCCCUCGUCACAUGCAAGGGUUGGGAUUGAGGAACUCACCCCGCGCCUUUGGGCGUCGGGGCUUUGCCCACGAUACGUGCUUAAGAUGUUGGCGUAGUGGCUUUAUGCGACCCGUCUUGAAACACGGACCAUGGAGUCUAACUUGCCUGCGAGUGUUCGGGUGGAAAACCCGUGCGCGCAAUGAAAGUGAAAGUUGGGACCUCUGUCGUGGAGGGCACCAACGCCCGGACCAGACCUUCUGUGACGGCUCUGCGGUAGAGCAUGUAUGUUAGGACCCGAAAGAUGGUGAACUAUGCCUGAAUAGGGUGAAGCCAGAGGAAACUCUGGUGGAGGCUCGUAGCGAUUCUGACGUGCAAAUCGAUCGUCAAAUUUGGGUAUAGGGGCGAAAGACUAAUCGAACCAUCUAGUAACUGGUUCCU
This 858-nucleotide ribosomal RNA is filed under the name Russula paludosa. Its description in RNAcentral is "LSU rRNA". It matches the Rfam family "Eukaryotic large subunit ribosomal RNA", at positions 122 to 959 of the family's 3401-position model. Lineage: Eukaryota; Fungi; Basidiomycota; Agaricomycetes; Russulales; Russulaceae. The record is from RNAcentral.